This 230-nucleotide long non-coding RNA is filed under the name Elaeis guineensis (African oil palm). Its description in RNAcentral is "long non-coding RNA (EGUI_LNC068827)". The record is from RNAcentral. Lineage: Eukaryota; Viridiplantae; Streptophyta; Magnoliopsida; Arecales; Arecaceae.
AGAACAAGCCAAAAAGAGAAGUUCUUAAGAAGACUGAAGUAAAGGGAAAGUAUUUCCACUAUGAUACUGAAGGCCACUAGAGGAGGAACUGUCCACUCUACCUGGAGAGCCUAAAGGCCAAAAAGGGUGAUAAACUUUCAAAAGGUAUGCUCGUAAUUGAAUCUAACCUUACAAUUUCUUCUACUUCUAGUUGGACAUUAGACUCUGGCUCGAGUGCUGAUAUAUGUACC